CUGCCGGCCCGGCGCAGCUGAGGUUCCCGGCUCCGCGCUUCGGCCGGCAGGGUGAGUCUGCCGAGUUCCGCGGACGGAACCGGGAGGAUGUGAGACCUGCCCUUGAAGCCCGUUCGCGCUUCCCUAAUGAAUAGAGUGCAAAACAGCUGAAGAAGCAGCCUUAUUGCUCAAAAGCAAAUGUUGAUACAUCUCAGGGCUUUGAGCGUGGGAGAUGAAGGGGCCAGCUUUACGCCACUUAAGGUGGUAACAUGGUUGAUGGAGAACAGACCAAGGAGACUUCGAUCAGCUCAUUCUUCAAGGGAAGUUUCAGCAAAUGUUCACCAAGAUUAGCCGAUGGGAUUGAGAGGAGAAGACCCUCAAAUAUCCUGGGAGGUGAGUACUGUCACCAUUCCAAGUUUAACAACCAGGCUGAGAUCACCUGUCUCUCACUGGUAGAGCCUAGCUGUGAAUUCAGGUGUGCUUGAUGCUGUCUACACUGCUGGCACAUCACUGC
Balaenoptera musculus (blue whale) is the source of this 493-nucleotide long non-coding RNA. RefSeq lists it as uncharacterized. The transcript is spliced from 4 exons. Lineage: Eukaryota; Metazoa; Chordata; Mammalia; Artiodactyla; Balaenopteridae. The record is from RefSeq and is a predicted model, not a curated record.